ACGGGAGGCAGCAGUGGGGAAUAUUGCACAAUGGGCGAAAGCCUGAUGCAGCGACGCCGCGUGAGCGAAGAAGUAUUUCGGUAUGUAAAGCUCUAUCAGCAGGGAAGAUAAUGACGGUACCUGACUAAGAAGCACCGGCUAAAUACGUGCCAGCAGCCGCGGUAAUACGUAUGGUGCAAGCGUUAUCCGGAUUUACUGGGUGUAAAGGGAGCGUAGGCGGUUUUACAAGUCUGAUGUGAAAGCCCGGGGCUCAACUCCGGUAUUGCAUUGGAAACUGUAGAACUAGAGUGUCGGAGGGGUAAGUGGAAUUCCUAGUGUAGCGGUGAAAUGCGUAGAUAUUAGGAGGAACACCAGUGGCGAAGGCGGCUUGCUGGACGACAACUGACGCUGAGGCGCGAAAGCGUGGGGAGCAAACAGGAUUAGAUACCCUGGUA
RNAcentral lists this ribosomal RNA (434 nucleotides) under uncultured Pseudobutyrivibrio sp. RNAcentral describes it as "partial 16S ribosomal RNA". It matches the Rfam family "Bacterial small subunit ribosomal RNA", at positions 341 to 792 of the family's 1533-position model. The record is from RNAcentral. Lineage: Bacteria; Bacillati; Bacillota; Clostridia; Lachnospirales; Lachnospiraceae.